Molecule: long non-coding RNA, 232 nt
Organism: Austrofundulus limnaeus
Lineage: Eukaryota; Metazoa; Chordata; Actinopteri; Cyprinodontiformes; Rivulidae
Exons: 3
Source: RefSeq, a predicted model, not a curated record
CACACACACACACACACACACACACACACACACACACACACCACUUUGUUCUCAUGACUCCGUCUCCUCUCCAGGUUUCCUAGCUGGGACUGUCGAGUUAAACACUCCAACAGGGAUGAGGACCAAUCACAUAGGAAGAGAGAUGGAGCAAGCUCCGCCCCAUUGGCUCAAAGAGCCAAUCGGAUCCAGGUGGCGCAGCCGAACAGGAAACUUGUAACGGUAAAUAAGAAAA